This 255-nucleotide ribosomal RNA is filed under the name uncultured bacterium. RNAcentral describes it as "partial 16S ribosomal RNA". It matches the Rfam family "Bacterial small subunit ribosomal RNA", at positions 524 to 776 of the family's 1533-position model. The record is from RNAcentral.
UACGUAGGGUCCAAGCGUUAUCCGGAAUCACUGGGCGUAAAGCGUGCGUAGGUGGAUUGUUAAGUGCGGUGCGAAAUCCUGUGGCUCAACCAUAUGGACUGUAUCGCAUACUGGCAACCUAGAGGACAUGAGAGGCAAGUGGAAUUACUGGUGUAGCAGUGAAAUGCGUAGAGAUCAGUAGGAACACCGAUGGCGAAGGCAGUGUUCUGGGCCAGUACUGACGCUGAGGAGCGAAAAGCGUGGGGAGCAAACAGG